UACGUAGGGGGCUAGCGUUGUCCGGAAUCAUUGGGCGUAAAGAGCGUGUAGGCGGCCCGGUCAGUCCGCUUUGAAAGUCGGGGGCUCAACCCUCGGAUGCCGGUGGAUACUGUCGGGCUCGAGUACGGAAGAGGCGAGUGGAAUUCCUGGUGUAGCGGUGAAAUGCGCAGAUAUCAGGAGGAACACCUAUUGCGAAGGCAGCUCGCUGGGACGUUACUGACGCUGAGACGCGAAAGCGUGGGGAGCAAACAGG
Molecule: ribosomal RNA, 253 nt
Filed under: uncultured bacterium
Lineage: Bacteria
Description: partial 16S ribosomal RNA
Rfam family: Bacterial small subunit ribosomal RNA
Source: RNAcentral